RNAcentral lists this ribosomal RNA (253 nucleotides) under uncultured bacterium. RNAcentral describes it as "partial 16S ribosomal RNA". It matches the Rfam family "Bacterial small subunit ribosomal RNA", at positions 524 to 776 of the family's 1533-position model. The record is from RNAcentral.
UACGUAGGUGGCGAGCGUUGUCCGGAUUUACUGGGCGUAAAGAGCGCGCAGGCGGUCGUACAAGUCGCGUGUGAAAGCCCCCGGCUCAACUGGGGAGGGUCAUUCGAUACUGAUCGACUUGAAGGCAGGAGAGGGAAGUGGAAUUCCGGGUGUAGUGGUGAAAUGCGUAGAUAUCCGGAGGAACACCAGUGGCGAAGGCGACUUCCUGGCCUGUUCUUGACGCUGAGGCGCGAAAGCUGGGGGAGCAAACGGG